GACGAACGCUGGCGGCGUGCCUAAUACAUGCAAGUAGAACGCUGAAGGAGGAGCUUGCUUCUCUGGAUGAGUUGCGAACGGGUGAGUAACGCGUAGGUAACCUGCCUGGUAGCGGGGGAUAACUAUUGGAAACGAUAGCUAAUACCGCAUAAGAGUAGAUGUCGCAUGACAUUUGCUUAAAAGGUGCAAUUGCAUCACUACCAGAUGGACCUGCGUUGUAUUAGCUAGUUGGUGAGGUAACGGCUCACCAAGGCAACGAUACAUAGCCGACCUGAGAGGGUGAUCGGCCACACUGGGACUGAGACACGGCCCAGACUCCUACGGGAGGCAGCAGUAGGGAAUCGUCGGCAAUGGACGGAAGUCUGACCGAGCAACGCCGCGUGAGUGAAGAAGGGUUUCGGAUCGUAAAGCUCUGUUGUAAGAGAAGAACGAGUGUGAGAGUGGAAAGUUCACACUGUGACGGUAUCUUACCAGAAAGGGACGGCUAACUACGUG
RNAcentral lists this ribosomal RNA (495 nucleotides) under uncultured bacterium. Its description in RNAcentral is "partial 16S ribosomal RNA". It matches the Rfam family "Bacterial small subunit ribosomal RNA", at positions 28 to 507 of the family's 1533-position model. The record is from RNAcentral.